UGGAAGUAAAAGUCGUAACAAGGUCUCCGUUGGUGAACCAGCGGAGGGAUCAUUACAGAGUUGAAAAACUCCCAAAACCACUGUGAAUCAUACCUGUCCGCGUUGCUUCGGCGGGCAGCUCCGGGGAGGAGCUGCCGCCUCCCUUCGGGGGGGCGCCCGCCGGAAGCCCCUAUAAACUACUCUGCAAUUUGGCUGGCAACUCUGAGUAUUUAGCAUGUAAAUGCGACUAAAACAAAAAAAACUUUCAACAACGGAUCUCUUGGCUCUAGCAUCGAUGAAGAACGCAGCGAAAUGCGAUAAGUAAUGUGAAUUGCAGAAUUCAGUGAAUCAUCGAAUCUUUGAACGCACAUUGCGCCCGCCAGCACUCUGGCGGGCAUGCCUGUUCGAGCGUCAUUUCAACCCUCAAGCCCAGCUUGGUGUUGGGGCGCCACGGAGCUUCGGCGCCGUGGGCCCUGAAAGUCAGUGGCGGACUCGCUGUGUGUCCGGGCGUAGUAGUAAUAUGUCGCCUGUGGACGCCCUGCGGGCUCCUGCCGUAAAACGCUUCUAACCAGAACGUUGACCUCGGAUCAGGUAGGAAUACCCGCUGAACUUAAGCAUAUCAAUAAGCGGAGGAA
This 614-nucleotide unclassified non-coding RNA is filed under the name Cryptendoxyla sp. IHEM 28163. Its description in RNAcentral is "sequence contains 18S rRNA gene, ITS1, 5.8S rRNA gene, ITS2, 28S rRNA gene". The stretch from base 240 to 393 matches the Rfam family "5.8S ribosomal RNA". The record is from RNAcentral. Lineage: Eukaryota; Fungi; Ascomycota; Sordariomycetes; Cephalothecales; Cephalothecaceae.